GACAGCAGUCGCCACGGUAACACGGAGGGUGCAAGCGUUAAUCGGAAUUACUGGGCGUAAAGCGCACGCAGGCGGUCUGACAAGUCAGAUGUGAAAUCCCCGGGCUUAACCCGGGAACUGCAUUUGAAACUGUCAGGCUGGAGUCUUGUAGAGGGGGGUGGAAUUCCAGGUGUAGCGGUGAAAUGCGUAGAGAUCUGGAGGAAUACCGGUGGCGAAGGCGGCCCCCUGGACAAAGACUGACGCUCAGGUGCGAAAGCGUGGGGAGCAAACAGGAUUAGAUACCCCUGUAGUCCCUGUCUCUUAUAC
This 306-nucleotide ribosomal RNA is filed under the name uncultured bacterium. Its description in RNAcentral is "partial 16S ribosomal RNA". It matches the Rfam family "Bacterial small subunit ribosomal RNA", at positions 507 to 807 of the family's 1533-position model. The record is from RNAcentral.